UGUGAGAGGUUGGGGGUGUCCACGUAGGAGGGGAAGCCACUGACGACCUUUGCUCCUGCAGACAGGAUUCCGAAGUCCAGGGACUACGUGACGUAUCUCUGGGUGAAAGAUGAUGAGCUACAGGUUAAUGAAGAUGUUUAUCAGGUGUUUCUGAACGGUGAGGACGUCCCGCAGGACGCAGGGGAGUACAUACUGUGCUACUACAGCAGCAACAUGGACUGUGUCGUCGGGGUUAGCAGCCCAUUCCAGAUCCUGCCGGAAUGUGCCGGGAGCCCUUUGGAGACGUGUGACGCGCAGGCUCACGGUGAUUCGGACUCGUGCUGAGUAGUGCUGGGACACCCACCGUGAGAGGAGAGGAGAGGGAGGGAUCCGGACCGCCGUGUCAGCUGCUCUCGGCCUCUGGUCUUGCUGACCCCUCCAGCAAGGCAGCCUGCAACUCUUCCCCUUACUCUCGAGAUCCGAUCGGGGCCCAUCCUGUGUGCGGGGGCAAGGGGGUCAAUCCUGUUUUCAUUAGCUGGGAUUGUUGGCUGCUAAGUACACCACUCCACCCCACCCCGUACUACUGGCUUGUUUGUUAAUAUUCUUACACGCAUUGCUGCCCAGCAGUGGGGAUGUUCAUGUGUUCUACACGUUUAUCAAGCUCUAGGCGCUCCCCACCCAAUCUUCCAUUCUCCUUGGUCAAGGUAGCUACGUUUGCCUCGCAUGGGACCCCUGCUCCUUGCUUCAGACAGACAGCACCUCAUCCUCUCGGUCUCUCCCCUCCCAGCACUCGGUCCCUCACCUUCUCUGCAAGGCAGCUCCCCGGACAGCUGACCAUCUCUGGACCCACUCUCUCACCUCCCUGGGAGAGACAGACCAAAGGAGACCACUGUCCCCUCCUUCACCCUCUGAUUAUCGGGGCACAUGCCCUCUGCCUGACCCCUCCCUCAAUCCCACGGGAUACCCUGACGGGGGGAUUAACGCGUUGAGAAUACGAAGAGUGUAGCUGUCACUGCCGUCUCGGGAUGGGAGGGACAGCGAUUGUAUCUAUAACCAUCCUUGGGCAACUUCCCUCCGUGCUUCCGAACUGCUUCAUGUGGAGUGACCCUGACUUGUGGAAAUCCUUGUUCAGCACCUGUUCCUUCAGUCUUCGCUCCAGGGAAGGAUAUUGGAUGAUGACAGAAACGGUGAGGUGGCGAGAAACUUGUGGAAUUGAGGGAGGUGCAGUUGCUGGGGGGAGUAGCAGUCACCAGUCUUGGAGAGAUGGGUUGCUCUGCACUCUGAGAGGAGACCACUCAGCCCAUCACACCUGCCAUCCCUUUUGGGUGACCGAUUAAAGCUCUAUGCACUUUUGAACUUCAGUUCUUCUCUGAACCAAUCGCAGCUCAAGGCUGAGUUGAUCCUAAUUUUUUGAGGAUUCCCAUGCUGCAGGAUCCCUGGAUCAUCCAGGUCUCCGGGGUUUUUCCAGUCACAGGUCACAUUCCCGGCAUCAGUAUUCCCAGCACGGAACAAACAGAACCUAUUCCCUGAAUCCGGGCCAAAUCCAGUUGAUGCUGGAAGUCCUGGGAUCUGGCAUGAACCCAGAUUGUUCCAGGCUCGGAGAGAUCCCAGUUCCCAGGAUCUGUAGUCGGGACGUUUAACCCAUUUUAGUGAAGGUCAGACACAACAGAUUUUAAGUGUUUUAAUUCAGGGACAUUUGCUUGACAAUUUGUAGAUAUUUUUAAACAGCAGCAGAUUGACUCAGUGUUAUCAGCUUUAAAUAAAAAACAUGAAA
Molecule: long non-coding RNA, 1753 nt
Organism: Hypanus sabinus (Atlantic stingray)
Lineage: Eukaryota; Metazoa; Chordata; Chondrichthyes; Myliobatiformes; Dasyatidae
Exons: 3
Source: RefSeq, a predicted model, not a curated record